AAAGGUGAAAAGCACCCCGGGAGGGGAGUGAAAUAGUUCCUGAAACCGCGUCGCCUACAAGCAGUCGGAGCUCAGUUUACAGCUUGCUGUAACGAGUGACGGCGUGCCUUUUGCAGAAUGAGCCUGCGAGUUAACGUAUGUUGCGAGCUUAAGUGUUUUAGACACGUAGGCGUAGCGAAAGCGAGUCUGAACAAGGCGUAUUAGUAGCAUGUGUUAGACCCGAAACCGUGUGAUCUACCCAUGGCCAGGUUGAAGCGGGGGUAAUACCUCGUGGAGGACCGAACCGUUGUAUGUUGAAAAAUGCUCGGAUGAGCUGUGGGUAGGGGUGAAAUGCCAAUCGAACACGGAGAUAGCUGGUUCUCCUCGAAAUGCAUUUAGGUGCAGCGUGUGAUGUUCACCAACGGAGGUAGAGCACUGAAUAGUCGAUGGGCCCUCCAAGGUUACUGAGAUUAAUCAAACUCCGAAUGCCGUUGGUUCAAGUCAUGCAGUGAGACAGUGGGGGAUAAGCUUCAUUGUCGAAAGGGGAACAGCCCAGACCCACUGCUAAGGUCCCUAAGUGGCGGCUAAGUGUAAAAGGAUGUGGGACUACGUAAACAGCCAGGAUGUUGGCUUAGAAGCAGCCAUCAUUUAAAGAGUGCGUAACAGCUUACUGGCCGAAUGUAGUCCUGCGCCGAUAAUGUAAGGGGGCUCAAGCCGCCCACCGAAGCAUGGGAAGUCGCGUUUACGCGGCUUGGUAGAGGAGCGUUGAUACUGGGGUGAAGCAUGAGCGUAAGCACAUGUGGACUUGUAUCAAGUGCGGAUGCAGGCAUAAGUAGCGAGAAGAUGGGUGAGAAUCCCAUCCACCGAAAACCUAAGGUUUCCGCGGCCAGGUUCGUCCGCCGCGGGUUAGUCGGGCCUAAGCCGAGGACGAUUGUCGUAGGCGAUGGACACACGGUUCAUAUUCCGUGACAGUGCAUGAAGGUUAUACGUCUGGGGACGGAUUGGAAGAGGUUUCCUAAGUUAUUGGCUUACUGAGCGGAUCCUUCGGGUGAAGUGCAGAAGUUUCUUCCGGUUCCAAGAAAAGCCAUGACGGUACGACAUGUACUCCCGUACCGCAAUCCGACACAGGUAGGUAGGUAGAGAAUACCAAGGUGUUCGAGAUAACUCACGCUAAGGAACUAGGCAAUCUAACCCCGUAACUUCGGGAGAAGGGGUGCUGGCGCAAGCCAGCCGCAGUGAAAUGGCCCGAGCGACUGUUUACCAAAAACACAGGUCUCUGCAAAAGCGAAAGCUGACGUAUAGGGGCUGACGCCUGCCCAAUGCCAGAAUGUUAACAGGAGAGGUCAGCGCAAGCGAAGCUUUGAAUCGAAGCACUGGUGAAUGGCGGCCGUAACUAUAACGGUCCUAAGGUAGCGAAAUUCCUUGUCGGGU
RNAcentral lists this ribosomal RNA (1410 nucleotides) under marine metagenome. RNAcentral's name for it is "bacterial LSU rRNA". It matches the Rfam family "Bacterial large subunit ribosomal RNA", at positions 510 to 1977 of the family's 2925-position model. The record is from RNAcentral.